UAUCGAUAGUGCAAGCUUUCUCUGUCUAACGGCUGGAAUUUUGUAGAAUGAUGCUGUGAACCAAAAAUGAAUGAAUCUCUCGUUUUUAUUGUUGAAAUUUGAAUUUUAUCAUAUUCUAAGUAAAUAAAUGUUCAACGGCCGACGCCAAUCAAUCAAUUUUUUUGGAGGGAGAUGACAUUACAGUGACAACUUCCACAGCAUAUAUUACUUUAAUGUGUUGCUAUCGAUAGCCUUGCUCACCGUUUGAUGAGCAUUUUCCUUUUGCAAAAGUUUCAAACGUUAAUUAGUAGUGCUUGACUUGGACCGAAAUGGGUUCCGGAACGGUUUAUAUUUAGGCCUACAGUAAACUCUUGAGGGAGACCUGUGACAGUGGACCAUGCCCCAGACAACGAGUAACCCCCCAGGCUUGUGCAUUGGUGCCAAAACCAUUCCAGAGAGAAAGCAGAUAUAUUCAUGCAAUGGUAUACUGGACCCUUCUCCAGGGCGUAGGUACAAGCAGGUCUAUCCUUUCAGGUAUAGGUGGAAAUGGAGGAAGAAGUCAAAAAAACAAACGCCACCAGCCCCACCUCUGCCAUCAUAUGAGGAAGAAAAUUGGGAGGAGGAGAUAGGAAGCUUUGAGACAUAUGGAUUUGCUCCAUAUGGCCCAGAGGAUGUGGAUAGAGUGGCCCUACAGGGGUUGACCCUGAACCAGACUCCCUGCCCUCCCCACCCCCAGACAGCAACCGAC
Oncorhynchus keta (chum salmon) is the source of this 727-nucleotide long non-coding RNA. RefSeq lists it as uncharacterized. NCBI's taxonomy places the organism in Eukaryota, Metazoa, Chordata, Actinopteri, Salmoniformes, Salmonidae. The transcript has 3 exons. The record is from RefSeq and is a predicted model, not a curated record.